Long non-coding RNA from Bos taurus (domestic cattle), 1548 nucleotides. The record is from Ensembl. NCBI's taxonomy places the organism in Eukaryota, Metazoa, Chordata, Mammalia, Artiodactyla, Bovidae.
CUGCACGCAGUGGCUGCGAUGGAGGCAGGGAGGCCCCCCUGUGCUUGAGGGUGGCCUCGCCAUCAAGGCUGGGGCCUCCGUGCCUCCUGCCUUGCUUGUCCCCCUCAGCCACAGCUUGGCCGCUUCUAGGAGAUGGUGCCGUCUCUCCCACCAGCAGGCUCUCCCCCGGGAGCCUGCUCAGACCUGCCUUCCUCACAAAGCUCGGUAGCAACUCCCUGGGGCAGAAAAUGUCUCUUCUGAAAGCAAGACAAGAGUUUAAUUAAGCCCUAAACGCACACAGUUGAGCCUGAAAUUAGGGUGGUGAUGGGAGGGGGAGAAGGCAAUCGAGGACGGUGGGUAGCGGGGUGGGCUUCAACGCACUUCUGGCCCAGCUGAGCCAAACAAGCCUACAAGCAAACAUUUACAGAGCCUGUGGGCGUGGCUACAAAGCCUCUCUGACCUGGAGAGGGGAGAAUGCCACGUUUCCUGUCCUGUUUGGGCUCUCCCCAGGUUGUUGCUCAGACAGUCAAACCACAGCCUCCUCCUCUACCUGGCAAUUAAUCCUGCUGUGCCCUGCAACCUGGGUUGGGUCUUACUCUGCCAGGGACUGAAGCAAGAAGAGACGGGCCGCCGGGCGUGUUAUCGCUUGUCUCUGGGGCAGAGAAGCGGUUGCAACAGAGCCCCUGCGUGCGUGUGGACGUGCCUGCGUGGAGCAUGCAUGAAAGUGAAAAGUGAAAGGGAAUUCGCUCAGUUGUGUCCGACUCUUAGCGACCCCAUGGACUGCAGCCUACCAGAUUCCACCGUCCACGGGAUUUUCCAGAACUUCUGUGUUGCUUUGGAAGAAGAACCGGUCUCUGUGAUGCCUGGGCAUCCUUUCAGCUUUCACAGUCUGUCAAGGUCAAACCAAAGAGUUGAGUUCAAGUUCCCAUCCCUAGAGUUGUUGACAGGCAUUUUGCUAGAGGUGACACACCAUCCAUUACAAGCUGAGAGUCAAGGAUCUGGAAAAUGAGAAGCCCCUCCCCUAAGCCACAGACAGCCUGGAUGAGCACACCAAGACAGAGGUUCAGUAUCUUGCCGAAAGUUGAGAGGAGAAGCUACGAAUAAGACCAGCUCUGGCUCCCAAUCCACCCCACAGCUUUUGAUGGUACUCAGUGGUACACCCUUGGACCCCGAUGGUGUGGGCAGUUCUCCCACAGGUCUGGCCCGAGUCUCUCCUACUCUCGUCUGAAUUGGAUCAGAUGGAAGGACCAUGUCAGUAGGUCGGUUCUGCUCCCAACCCAGCCUCAAGAGACAUCACCCAUCCCUUGGUACAGGUGGUAGCCUUCCAGUUACUGGGGUGGGGAUGUUUGCCUUCUGUUAAUGAAAAGAAAUAGAUGUGAUAAUAAAUAAAUGCCCAACCCAGUGCAGCAAUCGAUGUCCCUAACAAUGAGGCUCUGUGUUUGCUCUCAGCUGUGGGUUAUGUUCAUUGGCCACAGUCACUGCUCAGGAGCCCCUGGGCACAUCAUCCUGGGUGGGUCCACAGGGGAGGGAGCAAACCUUCCUGCCUUCAGCUACCGGAAUUCAUCCCAC